This 404-nucleotide long non-coding RNA is filed under the name Rattus norvegicus (Norway rat). RNAcentral's name for it is "long non-coding RNA NONRATT010426". Lineage: Eukaryota; Metazoa; Chordata; Mammalia; Rodentia; Muridae. The record is from RNAcentral.
AGCAGUGUAUCAGCAAGCUGUGCCUCGAGGUCCUGCACUCCUAGACUGCUUUGAAAAGAGUUCCCUCAGGCCAUCCCCACCUUCUCCCACUCACUGUCUCAUAGGCCUUGGGGUACCUUGGAGGUGUGGAUUUCCUGGUGUGCAUCACUGCAGUGAACCUUCUAGUGGGGAGCACUCUGGGAGCCAGUGAACCGGUGUGGGACAAGGACCACUAGAGACUCAAUGGACCUCACCAACAUCUGAAGCUCUUGACAUGAGGCUGUGAGCUUAAGAAUUAGCGGGCUUGGCAUUCUGGAAGAAUCUUAAGGGAAAGGAGAGGAAGCUAAGGCCGUAAGGGGUCCAAAGCUUUCUCUGUAAUUUGUGUUUUACAGCUCUUUCCUAAAAUAAAAUCAGAUUUGUCCUCA